This 1537-nucleotide ribosomal RNA is filed under the name Escherichia coli. RNAcentral describes it as "bacterial SSU rRNA". It matches the Rfam family "Bacterial small subunit ribosomal RNA". Lineage: Bacteria; Pseudomonadati; Pseudomonadota; Gammaproteobacteria; Enterobacterales; Enterobacteriaceae. The record is from RNAcentral.
UUGAAGAGUUUGAUCAUGGCUCAGAUUGAACGCUGGCGGCAGGCCUAACACAUGCAAGUCGAACGGUAACAGGAAGAAGCUUGCUUCUUUGCUGACGAGUGGCGGACGGGUGAGUAAUGUCUGGGAAACUGCCUGAUGGAGGGGGAUAACUACUGGAAACGGUAGCUAAUACCGCAUAACGUCGCAAGACCAAAGAGGGGGACCUUCGGGCCUCUUGCCAUCGGAUGUGCCCAGAUGGGAUUAGCUUGUUGGUGGGGUAACGGCUCACCAAGGCGACGAUCCCUAGCUGGUCUGAGAGGAUGACCAGCCACACUGGAACUGAGACACGGUCCAGACUCCUACGGGAGGCAGCAGUGGGGAAUAUUGCACAAUGGGCGCAAGCCUGAUGCAGCCAUGCCGCGUGUAUGAAGAAGGCCUUCGGGUUGUAAAGUACUUUCAGCGGGGAGGAAGGGAGUAAAGUUAAUACCUUUGCUCAUUGACGUUACCCGCAGAAGAAGCACCGGCUAACUCCGUGCCAGCAGCCGCGGUAAUACGGAGGGUGCAAGCGUUAAUCGGAAUUACUGGGCGUAAAGCGCACGCAGGCGGUUUGUUAAGUCAGAUGUGAAAUCCCGGGCUCAACCGGGAACUGCAUCUGAUACUGGCAAGCUUGAGUCUCGUAGAGGGGGGUAGAAUUCCAGGUGUAGCGGUGAAAUGCGUAGAGAUCUGGAGGAAUACCGGUGGCGAAGGCGGCCCCCUGGACGAAGACUGACGCUCAGGUGCGAAAGCGUGGGGAGCAAACAGGAUUAGAUACCCUGGUAGUCUACGCCGUAAACGAUGUCGACUUGGAGGUUGUGCCCUUGAGGCGUGGCUUCCGGAGCUAACGCGUUAAGUCGACCGCCUGGGGAGUACGGCCGCAAGGUUAAAACUCAAAUGAAUUGACGGGGGCCCGCACAAGCGGUGGAGCAUGUGGUUUAAUUCGAUGCAACGCGAAGAACCUUACCUGGUCUUGACAUCCACAGAACUUUCCAGAGAUGGAUUGGUGCCUUCGGGAACUGUGAGACAGGUGCUGCAUGGCUGUCGUCAGCUCGUGUUGUGAAAUGUUGGGUUAAGUCCCGCAACGAGCGCAACCCUUAUCCUUUGUUGCCAGCGGUCCGGCCGGGAACUCAAAGGAGACUGCCAGUGAUAAACUGGAGGAAGGUGGGGAUGACGUCAAGUCAUCAUGGCCCUUACGACCAGGGCUACACACGUGCUACAAUGGCGCAUACAAAGAGAAGCGACCUCGCGAGAGCAAGCGGACCUCAUAAAGUGCGUCGUAGUCCGGAUUGGAGUCUGCAACUCGACUCCAUGAAGUCGGAAUCGCUAGUAAUCGUGGAUCAGAAUGCCACGGUGAAUACGUUCCCGGGCCUUGUACACACCGCCCGUCACACCAUGGGAGUGGGUUGCAAAAAGAAGUAGGUAGCUUAACCUUCGGGAGGGCGCUUACCACUUUGUGAUUCAUGACUGGGGUGAAGUCGUAACAAGGUAACCGUAGGGGAACCUGCGGUUGGAUCACCUCCUU